AAAGAGCUUCAGUUCUAAGCCUA
RNAcentral lists this non-coding RNA (23 nucleotides) under Arabidopsis thaliana (thale cress). Lineage: Eukaryota; Viridiplantae; Streptophyta; Magnoliopsida; Brassicales; Brassicaceae. The record is from RNAcentral.